GAUCAGAUCGAGCGUUGCAUAUGAUUAAAAUUGGGGAUGAAAUCAUGAAAGAAUGGAGAACCUGAAACAGUUUGAGAGAUACACUCUGUUUGCGUGUGUCUACAUAAUUUUUAUAUAACUAAAAAUAUAAUUAACACCUGAUUUUUGAAUAAAAUUAGUUAAGUCUUGAUUAGUGAUAAUGUAAUCUUAAAUCCAUGUUUCCCUGAAAUUUCCUCUUCUUCUUCUAGAAGAUGAUAGGUGCUGGUCGGGCUUGUUAAUGGUGGUGUUGAGCUAAGAUGUGUUGGGUUGGGCCUGUUGUAUUGGAGGAAUGUGUUUGCGGCUGUUUAGUUAGUGGGCUUCGUUUUGUUGGGUAAAUAUUGGAUGUGGUUAGUGGGCUGGUUAAUUGGGUGUUGCUAAGUGGGCCUGCCUGAAAAUAUGUUUUGAUUUGUAGCGGU
RNAcentral lists this long non-coding RNA (434 nucleotides) under Olea europaea (common olive). RNAcentral describes it as "long non-coding RNA (OEUR_LNC006229)". The record is from RNAcentral. Lineage: Eukaryota; Viridiplantae; Streptophyta; Magnoliopsida; Lamiales; Oleaceae.